CCUGUGCAAGUUUCCAGAGUGUGAAUCCCUUAAACUGCAGCAGCAAUGAUGGCUCCUCCUUGGCAGAAACAUGCUGAGAAGCAGUUGGGAAUCCCCUGCUCUGGAGCUGCAGCCUGAGGAACCUCAGCGUGUAAGAAGCGUCUCUGAGGCACUCACAUGGUGAUGGUUAUACAUCUCCUGCUUACCCCAACUUAGUGAAAGCUGUCUUCAAGCAAAUAAGACUGGCAGCAAGGCUGGGAGUGCAAUCACCUGCUGGCAUAAUCCCUG
Molecule: long non-coding RNA, 267 nt
Filed under: Gallus gallus (chicken)
Lineage: Eukaryota; Metazoa; Chordata; Aves; Galliformes; Phasianidae
Description: long non-coding RNA NONGGAT008771
Source: RNAcentral